Molecule: long non-coding RNA, 852 nt
Organism: Myotis brandtii (Brandt's bat)
Lineage: Eukaryota; Metazoa; Chordata; Mammalia; Chiroptera; Vespertilionidae
Exons: 2
Source: RefSeq, a predicted model, not a curated record
CGCUUCCAGUAAUGGUGUAAGAAAAAAAAGAUCACAGUUAAUUUCCCUCUAGCCUAGAUCAGAAUAUACCAUUGCACGGAAUACUGUUUUAACAAGCUUCCGUCUAUGCCAGGACAUAUCUACAUAUCCCUUGUCUGACAGGAGUUUAAUGUUCAUUUCUAUUCGUGCAACCUGCCACAAGCCUGCAGGACGAAGAGCGCUCACCUACGUUCUGUGCCAGAGGCCGACAGUGACUAUUGCUAUCCUGGAACACUCCUUUCUUAGUGGGGUCAACAGCCGCGUUCCCCAUGGUUACUUUGGUGGCAGUAGAGAAGGAAGGGAAACUGUCCCGAGCGCCAUCAAGCUGUCUGACUGCAGGGGGAGGGAAGGGGCUGUUCCGCGCCUACCGGGAAGCCACCAGGUAGCUGUCUAAGGUGCUGAAACCGGACGCCGCGGAGUCCAUAGGGGACAGCAAAACGACCACUCACGGAUCCUUCAUCUGCUUCCCAGCAACUUCCAGGGAAGUAGAAUGACUGGGUGGAACUGGGGACACAGUUUAGGAUUGAAAGGCAGUAACUUAAGAAGAGGAGUAACCCUACUGGUAGUGCAAGGCUGUCAUCGUGGCCCAGGUGCGGUGCGGUGACGGGAGGGCCACACUGAUUCGGAAUCGGGGUGCCCUGCUUGUCGGGGUGCACUCUGAAGAGCAGAGAGGUCCCGGAGCUGUGUGCUCCUCCUAUCUUUCUCCCUGCCUAGUUGAUAGAUAAAUAAUGACUUUUUGGUAACUCCUGAUUGCCUUCAGCUGUCACAUCAAAGUGUGGGCUAGAUAGAUUUGGUCUGGCUUGCUGUUGAUGACAAUAGUGAUUCCAUUUUUUU